This 253-nucleotide ribosomal RNA is filed under the name uncultured bacterium. Its description in RNAcentral is "partial 16S ribosomal RNA". It matches the Rfam family "Bacterial small subunit ribosomal RNA", at positions 524 to 776 of the family's 1533-position model. The record is from RNAcentral.
UACGGGGGGGGCAAGCGUUGUUCGGAAUUACUGGGCGUAAAGGGCUCGUAGGUGGCCAACUAAGUCAGACGUGAAAUCCCUCGGCUUAACCGGGGAACUGCGUCUGAUACUGGAUGGCUUGAGAUUGGGAGAGGGAUGCGGAAUUCCAGGUGUAGCGGUGAAAUGCAUAGAUAUCGUCAAGAACACCGAUAGCGAAGGCAGCUUACCAAGCUGUAACUGACACUGAGGCACGAAAGCGUGGGGAGCAAACAGG